GGUGUCCCCUGAAAGUUUAAGCAGUGCCAAAAAUGGGUGAACGUAGAAAUAGAACAGAGAGAGAGAAGGAGAGGGAGGGAGGAAAAGGGCCUGAAAUCCCUCCAGAUUAGGAUCUAGCCUAUAUGCUUAUAGAGUUUGGAAAUAAUCCAAAAACGCAAAAGGACCCUGGGGCCAUUCUGGGAUUAAAGUAGCUGAAUUCAAAUAAAUCUCCAAAGUACUGAGGGCUUUCACACUCUGGAAGAGGACUGACACAUCAAUGAGUCUCCUCAUUUACAAAAAAAACCCUUUUAUGAGCUUCAGAGAGAGUGGGAGAGAGAUGGAGGAGAGCGAUGGAGGAGAGCGAUGUGGGGAGAGCGUGAGGGAGAGAGAGAGAGAGAGAGAGAGAGAGAAAAAGAGGAAGAGAGAGCUGGAGAGGUUAGUAGGAUGGGAAGAGCAAUCUGGUAAAGGUACACUUCAAAAGAAGGGUAGGUAAGGAGAGACACAGAUCAAUAGAUACAGAUAGACAGGUCAUGUUGAUAUAAUAAAAGAUAGAGAUAAAGAAAGGGGGAGAGAGUGAAAGAGAAAGAGAAAGAGAGGGGGGCUGAGACAAUAACAUGCGUAUCAGCCAUUUCUGCUCCAUCUUGACAAUGCAUGCUAGAGACUCGUUCUAAUUAAGCCAAAUUACUCUCGGAGCCAGAGCCCUGCUCCGGAAUAUUCCCUGUGUACACCUUCGCCGUUCUGGUUGGCCUCACAAAAUAUCCUCAAUUAUUUCUCCAGUCAACCUCCUUAAUGAUUUUUAUCUCAGCAACUGUAAGGAAAACGAAAGGGGGGUGCGCGGGUGAGGUUCGUCUGGCGAAUGCUUACUGUUGCAAAACCUAAUUUAAUGUGUCCUUUGUUCUGCUUGUGUAGUCAGGCCAGUGGACGUUUAAUGUGGAUAUUAGUAUGAAGUGGCCAGUGAAAUGUGGGUCUGCCCAGGCAAACAGAGUGAAAUGGAACAAAAGAAAACCCUGUGUUUGUGUAUGAGAGUGAGAGCGAGGAGGAGGGAGGAUCUACGCCGUCUAAUUACACCAAAGCGUUUCGGUCCCUGCCUGAGUGACAGCGCUCUCCUCCAAUCUAAGGCUGACAACAGCCAGGAAGCUAAGCAGGAAGCAGAACGAGGGAGGGACGAUGGGAGAGACAGAAAGGGAGGAGGGGGAGAAUGAAGAAGAGGAGAGAGAGAGAGACACAGAGAGCGAGAGAGAGAGAGAGAGCGAGCCAAUAGUCGUUAGCACUCAUUUACAACUGUUGAGGUGAAAUGAACAUUUCGGUUGACUGUGCUUAAACAACUGCAAGUCCCACAAUGCACCACUAGCAGGUCAGUGCAGCCUGCUCAUUAUUUUAAGUGGGAACACCUGAGAAGGAAAGGAGGUCUCUCAGUAAACACUCCAGCAAACAUUUCAGCAGAGAGAGACACACACGAAAAGGAUCUACUCGUGGUGCAACCAAAGAAGCCACUGGUUUUCAACCUAAAUGAGCCAACCAGUAAAAGAAAUAAAAGAAUCAUUCUGAGUUGGAACGAGUUGUCCCGUGCGUCCUUUGGGAUUAGUGCACCAGGCCGUUUCAAGUUGGGCCAGAGAGUAGACAAAAAACACCUGAGAACUUGACAACAACCACUACCUUUUUUUUCAGCUAUUUCCAAAAAGGUAGAGCAAAUAGUCUUCGGUUAAUUUGACAUAGCUACGGUGGAGAGUGGCUAGGCUAAGCAAAACUGGACAGAGUUCAGCGACUGAUAGAGAGGUAACAGAGUGUUGGAGAAAUCAGCAAAACUUUCCCAUGGUUCACGUGACUCAGGGCUGACACGUCUCCCUGAUAGUUUCCUCAUGGGGAUGUUGGAUGAUGCCUUCUUUCACCCCAGAAUGACAACCAGCCAUAAGAGAAGCAGUACUCUAAUGGGGGCUGACAUAUGUCAAAUACAUUGCACCUAUAUCAACGAACGCCCCAUUUAGAUUCAGCGUAUUAACAUGGCAUGCUUACAUCGUCGUGUUUGUGUGUUGGGACAAAGGGGAUUCUGCUUCACCUGCCUGACGUGUGUGUGUGUGUGGGUGUUUACAGCACGUUUGUGAUUCAGCCCCUCCGGGGGCCAUUUAGACGGAGGUGACAAGAUCAAGUUGGAGGCACGGCGAAGAGAGACGUGUGCACUGGGUGCAGCAGCGUCGCUUCCAGCCCCGAGUGGCUGUCUGUCAUCCUCUCAGGGUUCAGGAGGCGAAGCGCUCGCAAGACGUCCAGAGGAGGAUACUGGGCGUGGAGGCUGGGCCUCUGAAAUUGUACCUGAAACGUGUGAUCGUCACUUGUGUGAAUGAGCAAUGAACGUAUCCUGAUGAAGGGGAGAUUUCGAAGCUGGAGAGGUUCUCACAUUGAGACAUAUUACUCUCAAUUGGAGCUAGAUAGGAGAGCAAGGAUCCCAGCAAAGAGCACUAACCUUUAUACCUCCCUACUUUUCCCCCAUAAGGGAUUGUGUGCUUUUCUGAAACUAGAGCUUUUUAUGAGAUGCCUGUUUGAAUACAGACGUGUUGUGCAUAGUGUCUAACAAAUAAACAAAUAAUAAAAUAACAAAAAUUUCAAUACCACAAGCUGGUGAUAUGGUUUUCCCCUCUUGAACACCACCUUCCAAUCCGUACCUCAUAUAGGAAGCUCAAUAUCAGGGUGACGGGGGACAGGGCGUGUGCUGUAUGUACACUGGACAUGACACUCACCGGUAGGCUGGAGGGGCGGUCCUGCUGCAAGGGGCCCAGAUCUUCAUGGCUGGACUUCCCAGAGUUCCCAACAGGCUGGCUGCUGCUACUACUGCUGCUGCUGCUGCUGCUGCCGCCACCGCUGCCUCCUCCUCUGCUGUUCCCAUAAGCCUCCUGCGAGACCUCCUACAGCCAGGGAGAGAAGAGAAGGAGAGUAGAGACGGGGGAAAAGAAAGGGAAGGAAAGAAUGAGAGAAGAGUUUGAAGUUGUUUUGGUUCCCUGUUUCUCUGACAAAUGUACCGUGCGUGCAGGCGAGCAUCCUUUGUAUAGCUCAGUUUGCACUGGAUACACUUGAAUGAACUGAGCUCUCUGCUAAAAAGGAAAAAAGGGCAGUGACCCCUUUUCACUGCUGAUGAGGUCCGGACUUAAAGACAAAAAAUUGACAGAUUUACACCUGAGCUCUGUGCUCCUCCAUACACACAUGAGAGUAUGUGCACACACGCGCACAAACACACACACACACACACUUUUGGCAAGUCAUCAACCGUUCACCAAAUAUCACCUGCUAUAUCUGCACACACACACUCCCUCUUCCGGUCUGGCUUCAACUAGCUGAGGUCAAAGGCCACACCCUUGCGCCGGGUCACCCAUUGGACACUUCCAGCCGCCUCCUCCAGCUGAACCAUCAGGGAAAGAACCCCCUCGCUCACUUGAGGCUCGAGGAGCUCCUCUGAGACAGCGUUUGAAGGCUUUUGGGGGGGGGCUGGGCACUUUCUUUUUAAACUCCCCAUUAGUCUCACUGGGCUAAACGACACUGACAGAGCAGAGGCGGGAAACUCAUUGGGCUUAAUUAUAUUAGCCGCCUCUCUGCCACCUCUCCAAAGUCAGAUGCCACAGGGCAGAGAGGAGAGAGGAGCAACAAAAGCCCUUAACAGCGGCUUCACUGUAUGCUGCAUGUUAGAUUACUCAAGUCGGUUCAAAGGGAGGGUGCUGGCGGGAUGAAACAGCCAGCGAGCAUGCCGACGCACACACACACACACACACACAACUUAGACAGUGACCACAGCUGUGUGUGCGAGGUUAAAGGGCAGCAGAGCGGAGGGCCUAACCAGCAGAGGGGCACUGCAUAGCCCCAGGGAGUUCUCUUUGGAUACGCCAGUUGUCCCUCCGCAUAAGUCUCUCACAGGCUCCCUGUUUUCCUUUUCUCUUUCUCUCUGUCACACAUACACACACACACACACA
Molecule: long non-coding RNA, 3932 nt
Organism: Clupea harengus (Atlantic herring)
Lineage: Eukaryota; Metazoa; Chordata; Actinopteri; Clupeiformes; Clupeidae
Exons: 2
Source: RefSeq, a predicted model, not a curated record